This 483-nucleotide non-coding RNA is filed under the name uncultured Prevotella sp. Lineage: Bacteria; Pseudomonadati; Bacteroidota; Bacteroidia; Bacteroidales; Prevotellaceae. The record is from RNAcentral.
GAUGGCGCGCACGCUGACCGUCGACUCCUGCUCAUCUAGCAGGUCGGCCUCGCCGAAGUAUUCGCCGUCGCCCAAAAGCGCAAUCCGCAGGUCCUCGCCGUGAGGGCCUUUGCUGAUGACCUCAGCCUGACCGCUGGCCACGAUGAAGAAGCGCUGCUUGUCCUUGCCUUCUUCUACGAAGAGUUUAUCGACGUCCACCUCCUUAGCUUCAAAAGAACUGACUAGGCGGUUCAGUAUCUCGUCGUCGAACUCGGAGAACAGAGGAAUAGCUUUGAGGUUCUUCGCUGUAAAAGAUGGUACGCCGUUGACGUAUUGGAUGGGCAGGCGGUCGUUUUUGCGAAGUUCAACCUUCGUGCGGUUCACGCGGAACGUGCCGCCGCUGACUUGUACCCAAGGUAAAAGCUUCAAGAGUAAUCUCGGAGUGAUGGAACCCAUCUGCGGGGCGGUCUUGGUGGUGGUCGCCAGUCUUCUGGCGGUAGCAGU